RNAcentral lists this transfer RNA (73 nucleotides) under Marmota monax (woodchuck). RNAcentral describes it as "tRNA.Ala". It matches the Rfam family "tRNA". Rfam says of the family: Transfer RNA (tRNA) molecules are approximately 80 nucleotides in length. The record is from RNAcentral. Lineage: Eukaryota; Metazoa; Chordata; Mammalia; Rodentia; Sciuridae.
GUGGGGUUGUGGCUCAGUGGUAGAGCUCUUGUCUUGCAUAUGUGGGGCACUGGGUUCAAUCCUCAGCACCACA